RNAcentral lists this transfer RNA (67 nucleotides) under Marmota monax (woodchuck). Its description in RNAcentral is "tRNA.Ala". Lineage: Eukaryota; Metazoa; Chordata; Mammalia; Rodentia; Sciuridae. The record is from RNAcentral.
GGAUUGUGGCUCAGUGGUAGAGCGCUCGCCUAGCGCGGGCGGGACCUGGAUUCAAUCCUCAGCACCA